This 483-nucleotide ribosomal RNA is filed under the name uncultured bacterium. RNAcentral describes it as "bacterial SSU rRNA". It matches the Rfam family "Bacterial small subunit ribosomal RNA", at positions 28 to 507 of the family's 1533-position model. The record is from RNAcentral.
GAUGAACGCUGGACGGCGUGCUUAACACAUGCAAGUCGAACGAAGCAUACAGUAAGGAUUUCUUCGGAAUGAAAGACAGUAUGACUUAGUGGCGGACGGGUGAGUAACGCGUGGGUAACCUGCCCCCAGACCGGGGGAUAACAGUCGGAAACGGCUGCUAAUACCGCAUAAGCGCACGGUACCGCAUGGUACAGUGUGAAAAACUCCGGUGGUUUGGGAUGGACCCGCGUCCGAUUAGUUAGUUGGUGAGGUAACGGCCCACCAAGACCGCGAUCGGUAGCCGACCUGAGAGGGUGACCGGCCACAUUGGGACUGAGACACGGCCCAGACUCCUACGGGAGGCAGCAGUGGGGAAUAUUGCACAAUGGAGGAAACUCUGAUGCAGCGACGCCGCGUGAGCGAAGAAGUAUUUCGGUAUGUAAAGCUCUAUCAGCAGGGAAGAUAAUGACGGUACCUGACCAAGAAGCCCCGGCUAACUACGUG